This is a long non-coding RNA of Danio aesculapii, 1197 nucleotides long. RefSeq lists it as uncharacterized. NCBI's taxonomy places the organism in Eukaryota, Metazoa, Chordata, Actinopteri, Cypriniformes, Danionidae. The record is from RefSeq and is a predicted model, not a curated record. The transcript is spliced from 4 exons.
AACAUUUAUGAUUGGUAAAAGUGUGUGAUGUAGUUUUAUAUUUGUACUAACCGGCCUAUAAUCUGUUUUCCAGUAUUGGAGUGUUUACCUGUGAUGACAGUCUCUCACAGCCACAUGUACAACAGCCUUGGACUCUCUUCUCCUCUCCUCGGGGCAUCUGGUGUGGACCUUAAUCCCAGCGUAGCCUGAUGGUUGAGUGUGCCCAAGCAGACUGGAGCUAAUCUGCUGGAGAGAGAGAGAGAAAAAAGAGCCUGUCCGUGCUUGCUGUUAACACGUCUCGUUCCUGCUCAACUCUGGGAGCUGUGCAGGGUGACCUGGGUUAAUUGCAGCUGCAGAGAUGAACAGCCUGGGUCACCUUCGCUACGGAAGAGACGGGGGAAAAAUGAGGCACACUUUGUACCUGAAGUGGAGUCGGCAGAGAUUGGCCCUCCUUCAGCUUAUCUCUCUGGGUUUCUCCACACCCUUCCUCUGCUCGCCUGUGCUGGUCACAUGCUUGACCUGCUCGACUGGCCUGAACCGCACCUGUCCCACAUACCUGCUUCACACCUGCACUGUACCCAAUGACACUUUAGUGUUGAUGAUCACAUGACCUGCAGACCCUGCCUCUCUGAAUGCACCUUCCUCUUUCCCUCUUCUGGAUUGGCUGACGUUGCCAUCGGAUCUAAGGCUGAUUGACGGGCAGUGCGGCAUGAAGGAGAGGGUCAGGGGUGACCCUGGGGCAGCAGCGGGGGCCCGGGUGACUGACGCUGGCUCUCCCUGUCCUCCGGGCUCAGGGAUUGAAUGUCAGUUUCUCUAAUAACGGGUUAUAGUGAAAAGGUCAGCUCCAGUCGUCUGACCAUGAGAACGGAGAGAAAAAGAGAGAUGAACGCAAUGCCAGCGGCGGAAAUUGAUUGUCUGGCAGGGCGAAAGGAAAUGAAGAGAAAAAGAAAAAUGGAAGGCCGCACCUGAAAGAGGACUUCCUAUACGCACAGCAUCGCCACUAAAUCUCUGCUAAAUAAAAGCAGGAACGUCCGGCGAAUACCAAAUUGGCCCGCGCGGAGCUGCAGUGGAGGCCGCCAAACUCUGUAUGGGUAACAGCUUUUGGCAUGUGUACUGAUAUUAUGCACCGAUAUUAUUUGGGGAAAAUUGCUUUUGUUAAAAUAUGUCAGGAGGAACUUCAGGGCAUUUUCUAUCGAUUUUCUUCUUUGAUAGUGUAUG